RNAcentral lists this long non-coding RNA (10964 nucleotides) under Chlamydomonas reinhardtii. RNAcentral's name for it is "long non-coding RNA (CREI_LNC001192)". Lineage: Eukaryota; Viridiplantae; Chlorophyta; Chlorophyceae; Chlamydomonadales; Chlamydomonadaceae. The record is from RNAcentral.
CUGAAGGCGGCGAAGCCGCAAGAGCUAUCGAAUGCGCUGUAUGCCCUGGGCAAGCUGCGGGAGGAGCAGCAGCAGCGGGGCUCGGGCUGGGACCCCACCUCAUCGCCGCAUCUGAACGCACUGACCGGCGCUGUGGCCUCGCGGCUGCGUGCGGCGGAGGGGCACGUCUUCAAGCCGCAGGAGCUUUCCAACAGCCUGUGGGCGUGCGCCAAGCUGGGGUACCGAGACUCAGACCUCCUGCUGCCGCUGGCGGAGGCGGCCGCAGCCCUUGCCCCGGACAUGAAUGCGCAAGAAAUAUCCAACAGCCUGUGGGCGCUUGGGGCCCUGGGCUGCACCGGACCGGCGUUUCGGGCAGUGCUGGAGACGCUGUGUGGUGCGGCGCUGCGGCGGCUCCGGGUACCGGAGAAAUCUGAGGCGUUCAAGCCGCAGCAUCUGUCCAACAUCCUGCUGGCGAUGGAGGGGCUGCAGCUGCGAGGCAUGCAGGCAGAGCUGCUGGCGGCAGCUGUAGCUGCAGAGUGCGUGCGACGGCUCCGGACACCGAUGGGAGCUGAAGCGUUCAAGCCACAGGAGCUGUCCAACAUCCUGCUGGCGCUGGAGGGGCUGCAGCUGCGAGGCAAGCAGUCCGAGCUGCUGGCGGCUGCAGUAGCAGCAGAGGGUGUGCGGCGGGGCUUUGCCGGCUUCAACCCGCAAUGCCUCAGCAACUCGGCGUGGGCCCUGGCUAAGAUGGGGUAUGGGGCCGGUGCAACGUCGCAAGCCACGGAGCAGAGCCAGUGGUACGCGGCCGCGGCGGCAGCAGCUGAGCGGCCCGGGGUCAUGGCCGGCGCCAAGCCGCAGGAGUGGGCCAACCUGUUGUAUGCGCUUGCGUCAGUGCGCCACCAGCCGCCGCCCGCGCUGCUUGACGCAGGCGCCGCGGCGGUGAUGCAGCGAGGCAAUGCACAGGAAUGUGCAAACACGCUUUGGGCUCUGGCGGUGCUGCAGCUGCGUCACGCCGGCUUGGAGGCGGCGGUGUGCGGCCGGCUGGGCGAGCUGCUGCGGCUAGGCCCGGAGUCGCUUGUUGCACAGGAGCUUUGCAACAGCUUGUGGGCGCUGGCGGUGCUGGCAGGCGGCGGUGGCCCUGCUAGCCCGGCUGCCGCUGCGCUGGCCCCGGCGCUUGCCCUUGAGGCCGUGCGGCGGCGUGAGGAGCUCAAUGGAGACGGCUUGAGGCAGCUCUGGCAGGCGCGACAGGAGUUGGGCGGUGAGGUGGCGGAGGCUCUUGCCCGCAGCCCCGACCUGCUAGCCGCGAUGGAGGCGGCGGUGGCUGCCGAACGGGCGACAACGUCGACCACCAGCAGACUGCAGGAGCAGGUGGCAGAGGCGCUUCAGCGACUGCUGCAGAAGGAUCUCCUGCCCAUUGUGUCCGUGCAGACGGAGGUGGUGGUGGAGGGCGUGCUGGGGCGUGUGGACAUUGUGGCGGGCUGGAGGGACGGGCGGAGCGUGGCCAUUGAGGUGGACGGGCCAGACCACUUCCUCACCAACCGGAAGAACGACCCGUCCGCGGCAAUUGGUUCUACGGCCCUACGCAACCGGCAGCUGCGGCGGGCGUUUGGGGAGGGCGGCCUGCUGUGUGUGCCGUACUGGGAGUGGUACGGCCUGAAAACGUCUUCCGCUCAGGAGGCCUACCUGCUGCAGCAGCUGCAGGAUCUGCUAUCGGGCGCUUCGUCAGGAGCAGUAGCAGCAGGGGAAGGCAGCGCCGCCACCCCUCGCCGCAAGCAGGAGCGGACGACUCGGCCGCAGCCAAACACUGCCGGCCGCACCAGCACCAGCACCACCGCUGGCAGCAGCCAGAACAGGCGCGUCCUCGUUGUUGUCCGCAGGAAGGCGCGAAAGCAGCAGGAGGUGGCCUGCGGUGGUGGGGCGGGAGAGGCCUCGGAUGCAACAGUAGCUGCAGCGACGGUACCGGCGGAGGCUGAGGUGGUGGCCCCUGCCGGGCAGCAGCAAACGGAAACGGUGCAGCGGCUUCCGAACAGUGGCGCUGGUGGCGGUGCUGGCGAGGGCGGAGGAGACAGAGCUCCUCUGGCGCCGCAGCCACCACCACCGCAGCAGCCGCGCGUGUCAGCGCCCCGGGCGCGCCGCAGCAGCCGCCAAAGCCCAAGCCGCAGUAUUCAGGCGGGCUCGCCUCCUCCUUCGGUUGAGGCCCCGCCGCCGGAGCAGAUGCAGGCGGCAGCGCCACCCCGGCGGACCGCGGGUGGGAAGCGGACUGUGCGGAAAGCGGCGGCGGCUCCGGCAGCAGGUGGCGGCGGCAGUGACCCCGAGGCGGUGGUGGUGCCGGCCGCGGUCUCUGAAAAGCAGGCGGCGGUGGUGGCUGGGGAGGAGGGCUCAACGUUAGCAGACGUGGAGGGUGGUGGUAGUGGUAGUGGCAGGGGCGGGGGCAGCAGGCGGAGGCGGGCGGUGGGACCGGCAGGCGUGCGGCCUCGUCAAGCCUAGCAGCAGCGAGUGAACGAAAGGGGGCGGGGAGCAGUGACCUGGGUUAGUGGUUGCGGCACAAACGUGCACACGACUUGUGGUUUGCGCAGCGGUUUUCCUUGUGUCUUUUCCCAACGCACGUGUGUAAGGAGCAGUGAAUGCAACAUGCUAAGGCGCGGCGCGACGGGCGUUUGGCGUUGUGUGGUGCGAAUUUGGUGCGGUGCCCAGUACGGUGGGCAUCUGUGGUGACGGUCAGGCAGGUGAGCGGCCGUGAGGCCCAGUAGGGGUGGCCAUACAUGGGGUGCAGCGAGGGGCGGGGCAUGAAGCAGUGGAGUUGGGGCACACACACCAGCUACCUACCGUAGUGACACGUGCACACACGGCGCGUCAAAUGCGCCAAGUUUGAGGCAUGCCGCUUGUGUUUUGUGGGCAGAUGGUAGAGGGCUACGGGUCAGCGGUGGCAGUGGCCGGGGCCUGGGGCUUGUGUGUUGGUGGCGGCUGACGUGACGAGCAGGCGUGACGCUGGGGUGGCGCUGGGGUAGGCGGGGGAGAUGGAGAGACCCCUCCGCGUGUAGCAGGCCAUGGAUGGGCCCGGUUGGCACGAAAUACGCGACGCAGUAUGUGUGUACGGUAUUUGGUGGGGUUAACACCCAUCAGUACCGUACUCCUCCUAGAUGUGGAGGCCGCGAGGCUCACCGCUAGGUGCGUCGUCGGUACAUCAAACUCGUGCCAACAUCUACCUUGGCCCUGGCCCUCGGCCCUGGCCCUCCUCCAAGCCGAAUCUUAUCCAACAUCUCUAUCGUAUUGACUCUGGAAUGGGAAACGGGUGCACGACGGGGGCGGAAUGAGCGGCACUGACAGCCACGGGCAAGAGCGGGGUUGUUAGGCGUCGGCCGGGAGCGAGGUCGCAUGCUGGCGAGCCAUACAGCGAAAUUAGUCUCACACCUGCAUUCCUCACCUUUAACAUCGUUAUACGUAAUACCCCUUUGACCCUUGUUUGUGAUUAUGUCCUUGUUUGUCAUUCGCAGAGCUCAUGCAAGCUCCGUUUGCCUGCACAUGACACCGGACUGGCCCGUUGUUCCUUUCGUCCGAUCAACUUGUCUAUACUUCCAUGUAUAGUAUCAGCUAGCACUUACGUACUACGAGGCACUGUGGGCCUCAGCCUGCUGAGCCUAAAAUGUUACAGUCCGGACGCGGCGCCGCAGCGAGUAGACAUGGCUUAGGCAGCAGCUAUAAUGCUCCAGCAUCAGCACGCACAUGGCAUAGAGUGGCCCAAUGCGGCACACCGCUGACCCUGCCUCGCGCCGCUCGGACCGCCGGGCGCCUCGGCCCGUCGGCGACCGCUGGCGGUGUGGCCCGCGGCCUGGCGUGCAGCUCCGCAACCAGCGGCCCGGCGGCGGCAGUGCUCAGCGGCGGCGGCCCCUGCCUUUCCGCCACCGCACCUGCUACCACAGGGGCUGGCGGCGGUCUGCGGCAGCUACUGCCGCUAGCGGCCUAGGCCCGUCAAGCUGCACCAGCGCCCGCCACUGCCGCUCCUGCAGCAGCCGGGGCGCGCAGCUGUCUCCUGCAGCCGGGGCGGCGCGCGCAGCAUCAGGUGCUGGCGGCUGCGGGGAGGUAUGGCAGUGGCAGCACCAGUGACAAGAGCAGUGGCAGGAGCAGCAGCAGCGCGCGUGGCGGCAUCGGCGGCAGCCGCAGUAGCAGUGACGGUGGCGGCAGGGCGGGCAGGGGCAGGGCAGACAAAGGCCGUUGGGCUGGCGGCGGCGGGCGUGGCAGUGGUGGUGGCGGCAGGCCGCGUGACCCCGAAGACUUGAUGAUCGGGUAUGCGACUCUGGAGGCCCUGCAAGCAGUCAUUGAUCGGCGGCUGGCGGUGUGGUCAGAGCGGCAAGACGUGAGCACUAUGUCAGCUGCCUUCGGCCGUUGUGGCAAGGUGAGAGGUUGGCUUAGGGGCAGUGAAAGGUGUUUGGGUUUGCCUGUAAGCACGUGCGGGCGUUCCUGAUCGCAGUGCGAGAACUGACAACAUUCAACAACAACACGCACCUCCAAGCUUGCUUCUCACCGCCGCCAUAUCAAGUGAUCGGGGUAUCGUCCUUUCCCACUGCCCCCUCCCUUCCCUGCAACUUGAGUCCGCACGUGCCGGCGGGCCCACCGCCACAGCCGCGGCCCGUGCCGGCAUCAUGGCGGCCCUUGCGCCUGCUCUCCUUCCGCUCGUGCCGCGCAUCCGGCAGCCGGCCGACUGCAGCCUUCCGCUGUGGGCGCUGGCGAAGGCUGGGGCUGCCAGUGACGGGCGUGUGGAGUCACAGCUGGCGCCGGCACUGCUGCAGCGGCUGGUGGAUCCAGUGUUGCUGAAGACUGCAACUCCUCAAAACUUGGCGAACGCGCUGUAUGCCCUGGGCAAGCUGCGGGAGCAGCAGCAGCAGCGGGGCUCGGGCUGGGACCCCACCUCGUCGCCGCAUCUGAAUGCGCUAGCGAGCGCUGUGGUCUCGCGUCUGCAUGCGGCGGAGGGGCACGGCUUCAGCGCGCAGGAGCUUUCCAACAGCCUGUGGGCGUGCGCCAAGCUGGGGUACCGAGACUCAGACCUCCUGCUGCCGCUGGCGGAGGCGGCCGCAGCCCUUGCCUGCGGCAUGCGUGCGCAAGACCUGGCCAACAACCUGUGGGCGCUAGAGGUCCUUGGCUGCACCGGACCGGCGUUUCGGGCAGUGCUGGAGACGCUGUGUGGUGCGGCGCUGCGGCGGCUCCGGACACCGAAGGAAGCUGCAGCGUUCAUUCCGCAGCACCUGUCCAACAUCCUGCUGGCGCUUGAGGGGCUGCAGCUGCGAGGCAUGCAGGCAGAGCUGCUGACGGCAGCUGUUGCUGCAGAGUGCGUGCGGCGGCUAGGGACACCGAAGGAAGCUACAGCGUUCAUUCCGCAGGAGCUGUCCAACAUCCUGCUGGCGCUGGAAGGUCUGAAGCUGCGAGGCAAGCAGUCCGAGCUGCUGGCGGCGGCAGUAGCAGCGGAGGGUGUGCAGCGGGGGUUUGCCGGCUUCAACCCGCAAUGCCUCAGCAACUCGGCGUGGGCCCUGGCCAAGAUGGGGUAUGGGGCCAGUGCAACGUCGCAAGCCACGCAGCAGAGCCAUUGGUACGCGGCCGCGGCGGCAGCAGCUCAGCGGCCCGGGGUCAUGGCCGGCGCCAUGCCGCAGAACUGGGCCAACCUGCUGUACGCGCUUGCGUUGGUGCGCCACCAGCCGCCGCCCGCGCUGCUUGACGCAGGCGCCGCGGCGGUGAUGCAGCGAGGCAAUGCACAAGACUGUGCAAACACGCUUUGGGCUCUGGCGGUGCUGCAGCUGCGUCACGCCGGCUUGGAGGCGGCGGUGUGCGGCCGGCUGGGCGAACUGCUGCGGCUGGAGCCGGAGUCGCUUGUUGCACAGGAGCUUUGCAACAGCUUGUGGGCGCUGGCGGUGCUGGCAGGCGGCGGUGGCCCUGCUAGCCCGGCUGCAGCCACGCUGGCCUCGGCGCUUGCUCGUGAGGCCGCGCGGCGUCGUGAGGAGUUUCAGACCGAGGCGCUAAGUCAGCUCUGGCAGGCGCAACAUGCGUUGGGCGGCGAGGUGACAGAGGCUCUUGCCCGCAGCCCCGACCUGCUAGCCGCGAUGGAGGCGGCGGUGGCUGCCGAACGGGCGACAACGUCGAACACCAGCAGUACGCAGAAGCAGGUGGCAGAGGCGCUUCAGCGCCUGCUGCAGAAGGAUCUCCUGCCCAUUGUGUCCGUGCAGACGGAGGCGGCGGUGGAGGGCGUGCUGGGGCGUGUGGACAUUGUGGCGGACUGGAGCGAUGGGCGCAGAGUGGCCAUUGAGGUGGACGGGCCGGACCACUUUCUCACCAAUCGGAAGGACGACCCAUCCGCGGUAGACGGUUCGACGGUCCUACGCAACCGGCAGCUGCGGUGGGCGUUUGGGGAGGGUGGCCUGCUGUGUGUGCCUUACUGGGAGUGGGACAGGCGGAAGACUUAUUCCGCUCAGCAGGCCUACCUGCUGCAGCAGCUGCAGGAUCUGCUAUCGGGCGCUUCGUCAGGAGCAGCAUCAGCAGGGGAAGGCAGCGCCGCCACCCCUCGCCGCAAGCAGCAGCGGACGACUCCGCCGCAGCCGGAUACUGCCGGCCGCAGCAGCAGCACCACCAACACCACCAGCACCAGCGCCAGCACCACCGCUGGCAGCAGCCAGAAGAAGCGCGUCCUCGUUGUUGUCCGCAGGAAGGCGCCAAAGCAGGAAGCGGUCGGCGGCGGCGGUGGGGCCGGAGGGGCCUCGGAUGCAACAGUAGAUGCAGCGACGGUACCGGCGGAGGCUGAGGUGGCGGCCCCUGCCCGGCAGCAACAAGCGGAGGAGUCGCAGCGGCUUCCCAUCAGUGGCGCUGGUGGCGGUGCUGGCGAGGACGGAGGAGACGGAGCUCCUCUGGCGCCGCAGCCACCACCACCGCAGCAGCGGCCGCGCGUGUCAGCGCCCCGGGCGCGCCGCAGCAGCAGCCAAAGCCACAGCAGCAGCAGCAGCAGCCAGGCGGGCUCGCCUCCUCCUCCUUCGGUUGAGGCCCCGCCGCCGGAGCAGGUGCAGGCGGCAGCGCCACCCAGGCGGGCCGCGGGUGGGAAGCGGACUGAGCGAAAAGCAGCGGCGGCUCCGGCAGCAGGUGGCGGCGGCGGCGGCGGCAGUGACCCCGGGGCGGUGGUGGUGCCGGCCGCGGUCUCUGAGAAUCAGGUGGCAGUGGUGGCUGGGGAGGAGGGCUCUACGGUAGCAGCUGUAGCAGGUGGUGGUGGUGGUGGUGGUAGUGGCGGGGGCGGGGGCCUACCCGCGGGCAGCAGGCGGAGGCGGGCGGGAGGGACCGGCAGGCGUGCGGCACAGAAGUCUAGCAGCAGUGUGUGAUUGAAAAGUUAGAAGCCGUGGAUGUGGAUAAUGAAUGCGGCACAAACGUGCACACGACUUGUGGUUUGCGCAGCGGUAUCCCUUGUGUCCUUUUCCAACGUACGUGUGUAUGGAAGCAGUGAAUGCAACAUGCUACGGCGCGGCGCGAUGGGCUUUUGGCUUUGUGUGGCGUGUGUUUGGUGCGGUGCCCAGUACGGUAGGCAUAUGUGGUGACGGUCAGGCAGGUGAGCGGCCGUGGGGCCCAGUAGCGGUGGCCAUGCACGGGGUGCAGCGAGGGGCGGGACGUGAAAUGGUGGAGUUAGGGCACACACACCAGCUAGCUACCGUAGUGACACGUGCACACACGGCGCGUCAAAGGCACCAAACUUGAGGCAUGCCGCUUGUGUUUUGUGGGCAGAGGGUAGAGAGCCACGGGUCAGCGGUGGCAAUGGCCGGGGCCCGGGGCGUGUGUGUUGGUGGCGGCUGACGUGGCGAGUACGCGUGACGCUGGGGGACAGGCGGAGGAGAGGGAGAGACCCCUCCGCGUGUAGCAGGCCGUGGAUGGGCCCGGUUGGCAUGAAAUACGAGACGCAGUAUGUGUAUACCGUAUUUGCUUGGUGGGGUUAACACCCAUCACUAUCCUCCUAGUUGUGGAGGCCGUGAGCCUCACCACCAGGUACGUCAUCGGUAUAUCAAACUCGUGCCACAUCUUCCUUGGCCCUGGCCCUCGGCCCUGGCCCCCCUUCAAGUCCAAUCAUAUUCAACAUUUGUGUUGGAUUGAAUGUGGAAUGGGAAACGGGUGCACGCCGGGGGCGGAAUGAGCGGCACUGACAGCCACGGGCAACAGCGGGGCCGUGUAUGUGUGCGUGCGUCGAGGUCGCAUGCGAGCCAACCGGUGGCCGGGCGCCCGGAGCAGGGGGGGGGUAGGAAACAAAGUGCCAGACCCCAUGCCCCGAAAUCCCCCGGGACCCCCCUUGAGGGGACGACCGACCCCCCCCCGGACAAAACCUUGUUGUUUAGGGGUUAAAACCCCUCCGUUUGAUACCAAAGUGGUGCCAAUCGACUCCUCUUGACGAGCACUAUCACUCCGUGCCAUCAGCGGUCCUGUUCUGAGACUUCGGUCACGGGAUCCUAUCCAUUGAAAUCCCCUCGACCCAGACCACCCCGCGCUCAACUCUGUGCCGCGUGACGAAUGGACAAUGUGCAUCGGCAGCCUUGUUAGACGUGAACUCAUGUGCACCAGCGCUAGAGAGCCCAGCCGUGGCAGUGCGCAUAUGUCGAAUGUGGGGACAUGUGCCGACAUGUCCACCCCCGGACGCGCAACUCACCUUCCCACGCUUUGUUUGUGUUUAUUACGGCAUAACAUGCACAUAUGAACCUCGCAGUGCUGCGUUUGGCCCCCAGUUCUGCUUGUGGGGCGCUUCCCGAAAUCCGCCAGGAUGGGCUCCCGAAACCCGGUGGACCCCCAGGGACGACGACCGACCCCCCAACUUUGGCGGCCCAGAACUUCCUCACCAGACACCCCCUGACAAAACUAAAAGCACGUGCAUAAUGCUCUCCUUAAGCUCUGUAAUAUUGAGCAUGGGGUAAGAAACUGAGCUUUCUACCCCCCCCCUGCCCGGAGCGUGAGGAAUGCGCGUCAGCAAAACAUCGACACAACCUGCCAGCUACCGUCGGUACAGUAACAGCGCGCGAACAACGCACCAAUGCCUUGUCCCUUCUUGCUACGCAUUUAUGUGGGCACGGGUGGGAGCCACACACAUCGGGACUACGCUUUCCUGCCCCUUGCCAUGUUCCAUCACGAGCGAGCCAAACAGCGAAUUCAGUCUCACAACUGCAUUCCUCAUCAUACACAUCGUUAUAUGUAAUACCCCUUUGUCCUUGUUUGUCAUUAGCAGAGCUCACGCAAGCUCCAUUUGCCGGCACACCGGACUGGCCCGUUGUUCCUUUCGUCCGAUCAGCUUGUCUAUACUUCCAUGUAUAGUAUCAGCUAGCACUUACUUACUAUAAGGCACUGUGGGCCUCAGCCUGCUGAGCCUAAAAUGUUACAGUCCGGACGCAGCACCGCAGCUAGUAGACAUGGCUUAGGCAGUAGCUAUAAUGCUCCAGCGUCAGCACGCACAUGGCAUAAACUGGGCCCAUGCGGCACACCGCUGACCCAGGGUCGCCCAGCCUCGCGCCGCCCGGACCGCCGGGUGCCUUGGCCCCUCGGCGACCGCCGGCGGUGUGGCCCGCGGCCUGGCGUCCGCAACCAGCGGCCCGGCGGCGGCAGUGCUCAGCGGCGGCGGCCCCCUCCUUGCCGCCACCGCACCUGCUGCCACAGGGUCUGGCGGCGGUCUGCGGCAGCUACUGCCGCUAACCGCCUGGGCCCGUCAAGCCGCGGCAGCGCCCGCCACUGCCGCACCUGCAGCAGCCGGGGCGCGCAGCUGUCUCCUGCAGCCGGGGCGGCGCGCGCAGCAGCAGGUGCUGGCGGCUGCGGGGAGGUAUGGCAGUGGCAGCACCAGUGACAAGAGCAGUGGCAGGAGCAGUGGCAGCAGCAAUAACAACGAUAAGGGCAGAGGCGGACAUGUCGAGGACAGGACGGGCAGGGGCAGGGCAGGCGGAGGCCGUUGGGCCGGCGGCAGGACGGGCGGUGGUGGUAGCAGGAGUGGCGGCGGCGGCGGCAAGGCGCGUGACCCCGCGGAUGACAUGUCCGUGUGUCGGACUCUGGAGGACCUGCAUGACGUCAUUGAUCGGCGGCUGGUGGUGUGGUCAGAGCGGCAAGACGUGAUGACCAUGUCAGCUGCCUUCAACCUGUGUGGCAAGGUGAGAGGUUGGACUAGCUAGCGGGCAUGAACAGGAGGAGGGACAGGGGCAGGGGUCGGAGUUGCCGGGCUUGCCGGUACGCACGUGCGGGCCUUCCUGAUCAUAGUGUGAGCACUGACAACACCAACAACACACGCACCUCCUUGGCACGUAGCACAGGACACGCACAGAUAGACAGGGACGUGUUGCGUGCUGAUGCAACGGUUGAUGGCGUGGAAGUCGUUAUUUGCCGCGCACCGUACUCCUACCAAGGUCCCGUCUCGAUGGGAUUCAAUUGUUGUUUAGGCAUGCGCGCUCCUGUCCCGCGGUUCGGUCCUUGCACUGGCGCGGUACUACGUUCAAUGCCACUGAUUGCCCACCCCUGCAGCUUGAUUCCGCACGCGCUGGCGGGCCGGCCGCCACAGCCGCGGCCCGUGCCGGCAUCGUGGCGGCUCUUGCGCCUGCUCUCCUUCCGCUCGUUCCGCGCAUCCGCCAGCCGGCCGGCUGCAGCAUACCGCUGUUGGCGCUGGCGAAGGCUGGGGCUGCCAUCGACGGGCGUGUGGAGUCACAGCUGGCGCCGGCACUGCUGCAGCGGCUGGCGGAUCCGGUGUUGCUGAAGACUGCCACUCCUCAAAACUUGGCGAACGCGCUGUAUGCCCUGGGCAAGCUGUGGGAGGAGCAGCAGCAGCGGGGCUCGGGCUGGGACCCCACCUCAUCGCCGCACUUGAUAGCGCUGACCGGCGCUGUGGCCUCACGGCUGCGUGCGACGGAGGGGCACGGCUUCAAGCCGCAGCAUGUUUCAAACAGCCUGUGGGCGUGCGCCAAGCUGGAGUACCGAAACUCAGACCUCCUGCUGCCGCUGGCGGAGGCGGCCGC